GCGGGUGUAGCUCAGUGGUAGAGCACAACCUUGCCAAGGUUGGGGUCGAGGGUUCGAAUCCCUUCACCCGCUCCA
RNAcentral lists this transfer RNA (75 nucleotides) under Alphaproteobacteria bacterium LSUCC0226. RNAcentral describes it as "tRNA-Gly". It matches the Rfam family "tRNA". From Rfam's summary of the family: Transfer RNA (tRNA) molecules are approximately 80 nucleotides in length. Their secondary structure includes four short double-helical elements and three loops (D, anti-codon, and T loops). Further hydrogen bonds mediate the characteristic L-shaped molecular structure. tRNAs have two regions of fundamental functional importance: the anti-codon, which is responsible for specific mRNA codon recognition, and the 3' end, to which the tRNAs corresponding amino acid is attached (by aminoacyl-tRNA synthetases). tRNAs cope with the degeneracy of the genetic code in two manners: having more than one tRNA (with a specific anti-codon) for a particular amino acid; and 'wobble' base-pairing, i.e. permitting non-standard base-pairing at the 3rd anti-codon position. Lineage: Bacteria; Pseudomonadati; Pseudomonadota; Alphaproteobacteria. RNAcentral also lists the same sequence under 13 other names. The record is from RNAcentral.